UUGAAAGAAACCGCCAUGACUCAGGAGAAGCAGCGAUGGCGGACACCCAGUGGCAACGGUGGUUUUCUACAAAUUGAGGACAAGCUCCUCCAUAUCCACAACUUCCACUCACUUGAAGUCCCAUCAUUAGCUCGGCCUGCUGGAGCUCCCACACCAGCCCACAGAAACCACCGUAAGUGUCGCGGGUUGGAGAAGGUCCCGGCACUGGUCAACCUCAGAAGGGAGAAGGGGCAGAAGAAGAGGAGACGUGUAUGUGCCAAGCUCCCUGUUGGGCUUUGUGGCUACAAAGAGGAAAACAACACCAGCCCUGCCUUCUGGGAUCUCCAAGUCCAAGAAGAGAGUCAGCCCAGCUGAAUAGAAAUGGACACAUAACCAGAGCUGAGAGGUCCUGGGUAGCAAGCUGACCAAGCUUUUGGAGGUUGGGUGGGUCUUUUGGAGCAAAGGUAUCAUGAAUGGUAUCAUAAUAGCAACUGACAGUACGUUAACAUCUCAAGACUUUUUAGUUGGGAUAAAUGGAAUCAAUAGAGAGAAGUUCUCCACAGGCCAAAGAAUACUGUUGAAAUUAUUUAUGAAAACAUUUUCUCCUUUUGCAAGAAAAAUCAUUUAUGAGGAAGCAUACCUAAGUUUUCACAUGUAUAGAAUAUGGAAAGGAUGACCAAUCACUUGCCGAUCUGUUCUAUCUCGCUCAUGAGUUCUACCAUCGGCAGCAAUAAUUACGGACUUUAGAACAUAAUCAAUAUAAAAUACCAUUGGUUACACUAUAUUUAUAAUUGUUUCAUUUUUGCUUGGUGAUAUGGAAUAAAACCAUUACAAUCCUUUCAA
Molecule: long non-coding RNA, 822 nt
Filed under: Equus caballus (horse)
Lineage: Eukaryota; Metazoa; Chordata; Mammalia; Perissodactyla; Equidae
Description: lncRNA (ENSECAG00000037016.3)
Source: RNAcentral